Molecule: long non-coding RNA, 544 nt
Filed under: Numida meleagris (helmeted guineafowl)
Lineage: Eukaryota; Metazoa; Chordata; Aves; Galliformes; Numididae
Description: lncRNA (ENSNMEG00000018031.1)
Source: RNAcentral
AGCAAAUUAAACAAUGACCAAAACUUUGCUCAUUUCCUCCAUCGUUAUUUCAGAUUUCCAUGUCUUCAUUUUGACUUAGCAAUACGGAGGCAGUAUGUCUCUGCUGUCAAUACAGAGUGAGGGGUGGGGACAGCUCAAGGGCUGCAGGUCCUACAGGUUCUGCAUUUUUCAUGAGAGCAUUCAGGCAGCACUGCUCCAUGCAUCGUCCCAGCCACAAAUGCACAAAGAAAAAAUAAUGCUUUUGCCGCAUUGCCAAAUGGCCACCAGAGGAUUUGAUUUGUCAAUAAGCUGCACGAAUACCCAGGCCACCUCCAUCUGCUGCUGUGACAGAACACAAUUAACAGGAAAAUCCCAGGGAGUGAUGGAUGCAAGUUUGUUCUUAAAUAAUGAAAAAAAAAUUCUUUGGAAGGAAUUUGCGUUUUCUAGCCUGUUCUCCCCGCACAACAAAUACAAGAAAGCUGAGAGUACAAUUGGUACAACAUCGUUUGAGCAGAAGUCUGCAAUACCUUGGCAGUUGGAAUUCCACCAGAUAAGCAAUAUUUGA